GAGGUGAUUUUGAUAAAAGAUUUUGAUAAAAUUUUGAUAACCAUUCGAAAGCUAAUAAUAAAAACGGGAACCAAGUGGCUCCCGUUCUUUACU
Molecule: unclassified non-coding RNA, 93 nt
Filed under: Enterobacter hormaechei
Lineage: Bacteria; Pseudomonadati; Pseudomonadota; Gammaproteobacteria; Enterobacterales; Enterobacteriaceae
Description: STnc150
Source: RNAcentral